Long non-coding RNA from Bombus impatiens (common eastern bumble bee), 656 nucleotides. RefSeq lists it as uncharacterized. The transcript has 3 exons. The record is from RefSeq and is a predicted model, not a curated record. Lineage: Eukaryota; Metazoa; Arthropoda; Insecta; Hymenoptera; Apidae.
GAGUAAUGUAUAAAAAGAGAAUAGUAUGAUAUAUAGUACCUAUUUCGAAUUUAAAUUCUAUUUAGAGAAGAGAACGCAAGUGGCGCUAGUAGUUUCCGCGUUUUCCGCGUCGGUCAGUUUGAAUUCGCGUUUCGUUGCAUGAAAUUGUGAAAAUUAUAUAGAAAAGUGACUUCAAUUACCAUAAAUCUUUCUCAAAGAGCGAUUAAACGGUUUAAUUCAACUACUGGAGCAAUGUAACAGGAAUAAAUCUAAGUGGAGUGAAGUAGGAAAGAAGUGGGAAGAGUGAAGUAGGAAAGAAAUAGGAAGAGUAAAGCAGCCGUUAAUUUAACAAAAUGGAAAGCAUUGUCGUAGGACCAAGUAAUUGGAUUGCACGAUGAGUCCACGGGAGACAGGGGGAACGUUGAUUUUAACAAAAAUCCUGAGAAUAUGGAGUUUAAUAUUUCUUCGUAUUCUCGUACGUAUGCUCUUUAUCGCUGCAUACGUCGCGUUAAUUGAAAUAUAAAUUUUCCACCUGUACGACGUAUUUCUUAUUAUGUACGGUUAAAUGUGUUGUACUGUUACGAAGUAUAGGUAAAUUUACGCAGAAUAAACCGAAGAAUAAAAUGUUCCACUCUGUGUAACGUCCACGAGAAGAUACAAAGUUGUAAAAUUAUGUA